ACGCUGGCGGCAGGCCUAACACAUGCAAGUCGAGCGGUAGAGAGAAGCUUGCUUCUCUUGAGAGCGGCGGACGGGUGAGUAAUGCCUAGGAAUCUGCCUGGUAGUGGGGGAUAACGUCCGGAAACGGACGCUAAUACCGCAUACGUCCUACGGGAGAAAGCAGGGGACCUUCGGGCCUUGCGCUAUCAGAUGAGCCUAGGUCGGAUUAGCUAGUUGGUGGGGUAAUGGCUCACCAAGGCGACGACCCGUAACUGGUCUGAGGGGAUGAUCAGUCACACUGGAACUGAGACACGGUCCAGACUCCUACGGGAGGCAGCAGUGGGGAAUAUUGGACAAUGGGCGAAAGCCUGAUCCAGCCAUGCCGCGUGUGUGAAGAAGGUCUUCGGAUUGUAAAACACUUUAAGUUGGGAGGAAGGGCAGUAAAUUAAUACUUUGCUGUUUUGACGUUACCGACAGAAUAAGCACCGGCUAACUCUGUGCCAGCAGCCGCGGUAAUACAGAGGGUGCAAGCGUUAAUCGGAAUUACUGGGCGUAAAGCGCGCGUAGGUGGUUCGUUAAGUUGGAUGUGAAAUCCCCGGGCUCAACCUGGGAACUCCAUUCAAAACUGACGAGCUAGAGUAUGGUAGAGGGUGGUGGAAUUUCCUAUGUAGCGGUGAAAUGCGUAGAUAUAGGAAGGAACACCAGUGGCGAAGGCGACCACCUGGACUAAUACUGACACUGAGGUGCGAAAGCGUGGGGAGCAAAC
RNAcentral lists this ribosomal RNA (745 nucleotides) under uncultured bacterium. RNAcentral describes it as "bacterial SSU rRNA". It matches the Rfam family "Bacterial small subunit ribosomal RNA", at positions 33 to 773 of the family's 1533-position model. The record is from RNAcentral.